This 117-nucleotide ribosomal RNA is filed under the name Paenibacillus riograndensis. RNAcentral's name for it is "partial 16S ribosomal RNA". It matches the Rfam family "Bacterial small subunit ribosomal RNA", at positions 1428 to 1533 of the family's 1533-position model. The record is from RNAcentral. Lineage: Bacteria; Bacillati; Bacillota; Bacilli; Caryophanales; Paenibacillaceae.
CGGUGGGGUAACCCGCAAGGGGGCCAGCCGCCGAAGGUGGGGUAGAUGAUUGGGGUGAAGUCGUAACAAGGUAGCCGUAUCGGAAGGUGCGGCUGGAUCACCUCCUUUCUAUGGAGA